Small nuclear RNA from Jaculus jaculus (lesser Egyptian jerboa), 109 nucleotides. The record is from Ensembl. NCBI's taxonomy places the organism in Eukaryota, Metazoa, Chordata, Mammalia, Rodentia, Dipodidae.
GUGGUAGUUGAUGGGCAGCACUUUUAUUAAAAUUGGAAACUUACAAAUAAGAUUCACAUCACCCAUGCACAAGGAUGGCAUGCAAAUUUGUGAAGCAUUCCAUAUUAAA